GACGAACGCUGGCGGCGUGCCUAAUACAUGCAAGUCGAACGAGAGCGACCGGUGCUUGCACUGGUCAAUCUAGUGGCGAACGGGUGAGUAACACGUGGGUAACCUGCUCAUCAGAGGGGGAUAACAUCCGGAAACGGAUGCUAAAACCGCAUAGGUCUUCGAGCCGCAUGGCUUGAAGAGGAAAAGAGGCGCAAGCUUCUGCUGAUGGAUGGACCCGCGGUGCAUUAGCUAGUUGGUGAGGUAACGGCUCACCAAGGCCGUGAUGCAUAGCCGACCUGAGAGGGUGAUCGGCCACAUUGGGACUGAGACACGGCCCAAACUCCUACGGGAGGCAGCAGUAGGGAAUCUUCCGCAAAGGACGCAAGUCUGACGGAGCAACGCCGCGUGAGUGAAGAAGGUUUUCGGAUCGUAAAACUCUGUUGUUAGAGAAGAACAAGUGCUAGAGUAACUGUUAGCGCCUUGACGGUAUCUAACCAGAAAGCCGCGGCUAACUACGUG
This 498-nucleotide ribosomal RNA is filed under the name uncultured bacterium. RNAcentral describes it as "partial 16S ribosomal RNA". It matches the Rfam family "Bacterial small subunit ribosomal RNA", at positions 28 to 507 of the family's 1533-position model. The record is from RNAcentral.